CACCCGGCUCCCCCGGGGCUCCUGCCCUGUGCCCGGUGUGCCUGGGGCCAGCAGGGUGCCUGUGGGGCCAGCAGACACUGGGCUCUGGGGCUGAGCACGGGGUUCUGUCACUGCAGAAGGGUACGUUUGCUGUCACAGGGAGUCAACAGAGCCAGGCGCCCGGGAGCCUUGUGCUGACAUGCCAAGGUGCUGCUGGUGGUUGCUGCUUCCAGGGGCUGCCCCUCCCAUUAGGAACACCCCAGGAGGCAUCUGCUCCUCCACUGGAUGCAGCCCAAGUGCUCCAGAGGUUGGAUCUGUCUCCUUUCUGUCGCAUAUGCUCCCAUCAGCUUCUCUCCUGUGUUUAUCCUGAAUUUUGGACAGAGUUAAUUACCUUGCUAGGAUGCUGAGCUCCAGCCACUGCCCACACCAGAUGUUCUCUUGGUGCCAACCAUCGUCUUGCAGGAAGAAAUGUCUGCAUUCUGUCAGUGCAACAGCUAUCCACCUUUCCAACUCUCCUUUCCCACUGCAAGCUCUUGGAUGGAGACAAAAAGUUUCCAGGCCCAGCCCCUUUGUGCUGCCUGUGUGUAGGACCAGGAUACAGCUGCCUCUCAGUUCUGCAUGGAGACUCCCAGCUAUUCCCAGAGGACUGGCUGAAUUUCCCAGGCCAUGUGCUGGAGCAGAUGCAAGCUGCUUGCACAGAAAGGAGCGGAGCUGGCUGGAUUUGGAUCUUCAUUUGGAUCUUUGCUCCACAGGGAGCAAAGGCACUGGUUGCUGCCAAUGGCUGUCAACGAGGAGCACUUCAUGCAAUUCCCAUCUGCUGCCCCGCUAA
Long non-coding RNA from Lepidothrix coronata (blue-crowned manakin), 808 nucleotides. Lineage: Eukaryota; Metazoa; Chordata; Aves; Passeriformes; Pipridae. The record is from Ensembl.